RNAcentral lists this ribosomal RNA (464 nucleotides) under uncultured bacterium. RNAcentral describes it as "partial 16S ribosomal RNA". It matches the Rfam family "Bacterial small subunit ribosomal RNA", at positions 29 to 507 of the family's 1533-position model. The record is from RNAcentral.
ACGAACGCUGGCGGCGUGCUUAACACAUGCAAGUCGAACGGAAAGGCCCUGCUUGCAGGGUACUCGAGUGGCGAACGGGUGAGUAACACGUGGGUGAUCUGCCCUGCACUUCGGGAUAAGCCUGGGAAACUGGGUCUAAUACCGGAUAGGAGCCAUUUUUAGUGUGAUGGUUGGAAAGUUUUUUCGGUGUAGGAUGAGCUCGCGGCCUAUCAGCUUGUUGGUGGGGUAAUGGCCUACCAAGGCGGCGACGGGUAGCCGGCCUGAGAGGGUGGACGGCCACAUUGGGACUGAGAUACGGCCCAGACUCCUACGGGUGGCAGCAGUGGGGAAUAUUGCACAAUGGGUGCAAGCCUGAUGCAGCGACGCCGCGUGGGGGAUGACGGCCUUCGGGUUGUAAACUCCUUUCGCUAGGGACGAAGCUUUUUGUGACGGUACCUAGAGAAGAAGCACCGGCUAACUACGUG